GACCCCUUAUAGACGAUGAGGUAGAUAGGUCCGGGGUGGAAGUGCCGCAAGGCAUGGAGCUGACGGAUACUAAUCGGUCGAGGGCUUAUCCAAA
RNAcentral lists this ribosomal RNA (94 nucleotides) under Paenibacillus agricola. Its description in RNAcentral is "partial 23S ribosomal RNA". It matches the Rfam family "Bacterial large subunit ribosomal RNA", at positions 2832 to 2925 of the family's 2925-position model. Lineage: Bacteria; Bacillati; Bacillota; Bacilli; Caryophanales; Paenibacillaceae. The record is from RNAcentral.